This 484-nucleotide ribosomal RNA is filed under the name uncultured bacterium. RNAcentral's name for it is "bacterial SSU rRNA". It matches the Rfam family "Bacterial small subunit ribosomal RNA", at positions 17 to 518 of the family's 1533-position model. The record is from RNAcentral.
UUAUGGCUCGGGAUUAACGCUGGCGGCAUGCCUAAUACAUGCAAGUCGAAUGGGAAAGCUUGCUUUCCAUGGCGAACGGGUGAGUAACACGUAGGUAACCUACCUUAAGGACGAGGAUAACCUUUGGAAACGAAGGAUAAUACUGGAUAGGACAUUAAAAAGCACAUGCUUAAAUGUUUAAAGGAGCAAUCCACCAUAAGAGGGGCCUGCGGCGCAUUAGCUAGUUGGUGAGGUAAAGGCCCACCAAGGCGAUGAUGCGUAGCUGGACUGAGAGGUUGAACAGCCACAAUGGGACUGAGAACGGCCCAUACUCCUACGGGAGGCAGCAGUAGGGAAUUUUCGGCAAUGGACGAAAGUCUGAACCCGAGCAAUGCCGCGUGAACGAAGAAGUAUUUCGGUAUGUAAAGUUCUUUUAUCAGGGAAGAAAAAACAAAUUGACUGAACCUGAUGAAUAAGCUCCGGCUAACUACGUGCCAGCCGCGGC